GCCUAGACGUAAACAAUUUAUUUACAUUCUCUAACGCCCGGGUAUUACGAGCAAUGCUUAAAACCCAAAGGACUUGACGGUGUCCCACCCACCUAGAGGAGCCUGUUCUAUAAUCGAUAACCCCCGCUUUACCUAACCAUUCUUUGCCUAAUCAGUCUGUAUACCUCCGUCGGAAGCUUACCAUAUGAACGCCCAUAGUAAGCCCAAUGGUCACCCACCAACACGUCAGGUCAAGGUGCAACUUAUAGAGUGGAAAGAAAUGGGCUACAAUUUCUAGAAUAGAACAAACGAAAGGCUGCCUGAAACCCAGUCAUGAAGGAGGAUCUAGUAGUAAAAAGAGAAUAGAGAGCUCUUUUUAACCCGGCACUGGGACGCGUACACACCGCCCGUCACCCUCUUCAAUAGUUCUUUAUCUCGGUUACUAACAAAUUAGCCACGCCUU
Molecule: ribosomal RNA, 442 nt
Filed under: Meristogenys dyscritus
Lineage: Eukaryota; Metazoa; Chordata; Amphibia; Anura; Ranidae
Description: partial 12S rRNA
Rfam family: Bacterial small subunit ribosomal RNA
Source: RNAcentral